Molecule: long non-coding RNA, 578 nt
Organism: Scophthalmus maximus (turbot)
Lineage: Eukaryota; Metazoa; Chordata; Actinopteri; Pleuronectiformes; Scophthalmidae
Exons: 3
Source: RefSeq, a predicted model, not a curated record
UCGCACGUUACAGACGGGCAAAGAGCGAGGACGAGGCGCAGCCUGCGACCAGCCUCCGCUGUGUGGUCCGAGUCCAAGUGCCCGAACUUCAACAAAACACUCGAGUUCGCCUGAGAAGAAUUUGCAAAAUCAAGGAUUUCACCAACUCAACCCGAACCCUCUUGUCCACAGUUCAUAAAUGGCACGAUGGGGAAUAAUUGUUCCAAAUGUGCAAACCGACUCCCCACCAGCACACACAGAGAGAGAGAGGGAAAGAAAAAUCUUUAAGGCACAAAUGGCGCAUAAACAAAAGCGAUAAGACUCCAGUCGCCUGUGUGGGAUGUUCGGGGUUCGUCAGCUAAUUUAUAGGCGCAAAUACCGUUAUUAGGGACAGCGGUGUUGUGCGGCGCCGAACGCCCAGCGAGAAGCGCACUUUCCCCGGCUGCCCGGGAACCGGCAGGACGUCUCCGCAUCACCGGGGGCGAAAAAAAGGGGGGGAAAAAAAGCUACGCGAACGCACCUAUUUCCACCUGCGCAGAGGAGAAGCCCCCUGAAACGCACGCCACCUAUCUUCACGGGAGGGGAUAAUUGAGGGGCGC